Molecule: ribosomal RNA, 775 nt
Filed under: uncultured Neocallimastigales
Lineage: Eukaryota; Fungi; Neocallimastigomycota; Neocallimastigomycetes; Neocallimastigales
Description: partial large subunit ribosomal RNA
Rfam family: Eukaryotic large subunit ribosomal RNA
Source: RNAcentral
CUAUACAUGACUCUGCGCAUAUCAAUAAGCGGAGGAAAAGAAACUAACAAGGAUUCCCCUAGUAACGGCGAGUGAAGCGGGAAGAGCUCAAAUUUGAAAUCUUAAAGGGUUUCCCUUUACGAAUUGUAGUUUAAAGAAGUGUUUUCUGUUGAGGUUUUGGUAAAAGUUCUUUGGAAUAGGACAUCAUAGAGGGUGAGAAUCCCGUAUUUGACCUUUACUUUCAACUUUGUGAUACACUUUCAAAGAGUCGGAUUGUUUGGGAAUGCAGUCCAAAAUGGGUGGUAAAUUUCAUCUAAAGCUAAAUAUUGGCGAGAGACCGAUAGCGAACAAGUACCGUGAGGGAAAGAUGAAAAGAACUUUGAAAAGAGAGUUAAACAGUACGUGAAAUUGUCAAAAGGGAAGCGUUUGACACCAGUGUUGUUUUUCUGAAAAUCAAUUAAAGAACUGUUUAUGCUAAGUUGUUUAGACUUUAUCAGCUAACUGUUUAGUUUUGAGCUUUUCUUUAAUGCACUUUUCAGUUAACAAGUCAACAUCAAUUUCUUUUGCUGUAAAAAAGCUUGAGGAAGGUGGCUUGAGAUUCGUCUUAAGUGUUCUAUAGCCUCUUGCCUAUGCAGUCGGAGAGAUUGAGGUCUGCAGCGUAGAUCCUUCGGGGCUAAAUGCAUUUGUGCUAAGUUAUAGCAUUUUAUAGACAACUUGUUGACUAUGAUUUGUCUUGUAGCUUACUCGCUUAUGUUAUUUUACCUACGCUUAGGAUGUUGACAGCAGUAUAGACUGU